This is a long non-coding RNA of Lactuca sativa (garden lettuce), 922 nucleotides long. RefSeq lists it as uncharacterized. The record is from RefSeq and is a predicted model, not a curated record. Lineage: Eukaryota; Viridiplantae; Streptophyta; Magnoliopsida; Asterales; Asteraceae.
CUCUCUCUCGUAGAUAUACGACGUAGCCAACUAUCGCUUUGAUCCUUGAUCCAUCAUCAUUCCAUAAUUGUCUCUUCGAUGCCAAUUCUUUACCCUCUUACAAUUAUCAAAAAUUCAUAUAUGAGAUUUUGAUUCAUUCAACAAACCACUUCCGUCUCUUAUAAUCGUCUUCUUUACACUUAUCUGAUUCCAGCCCUAGGUCUUCUAAGUUGUCAUCUCAGUCAAGAGGAGACGCCUCUGUCAAAGCCAACUCCAAGGAAACUGACCCAAGCUUGAGGAAAUUCUCAACAUCUUCAAGUUCGAUAAAUUCGAUGUCGAUGCCUUUGUCAACUCCAAGUGUAAUUCUUUGAACGAGAAGACGAAUCAUACGAGGAGGAAAGGUUGUUGUUGGUCGGAGAUGACAGAAAGAGGGGAAACACCACAACUAGGAGAUGAUAGAAAGAGGGGUAACAUCAAAGAGAUGCGUAUGAAAUAGACUGUAUCAGAUUUGCUGGUUGUGUUCGAGAUCGUGCUUGACUAAAAGGUAGGUGGGGAAACAAAGCUAUUUUGUUAGCGAUGGUUCCUGGCCUUGGAUCAGUUAUGCCGUCGGUUAGGCCACCUCCCCCCACCAUUGCCUUCGCCGACUCAAAGCACUGUUUUUUCAUCUCCAACCACCAUUACCUUUUCCAUAAGCCACCUUGAACCACCACCCUUUGGGUCACCUCCGUCAAACCCUUAUCUCUCUCUUUCUAUACCUAUUAUCGCACGGACACAAGGUGUAUGUGUGCGUUUUCUGCUUUCUCAAUCGCUAACAUAGAAGACCCAACUAGGUGGGUGUAAUUUUGAUUUUGGGUGUGUGUGUGACAGAGAGAGAGGUGGGUGGGCCUCUCUUGCUUUUUAAUUGAUAAAACUGUAAAAAUAAAUAUAAAAGGGUAUUUUAAUC